This 501-nucleotide long non-coding RNA is filed under the name Solanum tuberosum (potato). RNAcentral's name for it is "long non-coding RNA (STUB_LNC006123)". The record is from RNAcentral. Lineage: Eukaryota; Viridiplantae; Streptophyta; Magnoliopsida; Solanales; Solanaceae.
UCCCCGUUGAUGCCACCACCUCCUCUCUAACGUUGAAUAUUUGAUAGUCUCACAUCUAUCUUCUUCACUAGAGAGUCGCCCCAAAGUACCAGCACCUUCAUCAGAUGAUAUUUUUGAAGUGAUUCAUGCCAUUAUUGCACCCCUCGCAACCACUAUGUGUGAAUUAUUUGCUUGUUGGGACAAUUUGAUGAAUAAAAUGGAAGAUCCCAUUAAAUUCUAUAUCAAGUAAAGAAAAAGUGAUAGCACAUCUAAAAACAAAAAUUUCAUCUGAUGGAGCUCCUGAUUCUUUGGGGCGAGUCUCUGGUGAAAAAGAGAAAGGUUAGACUACAAAUGUUCUGGGACAAAGGGAAGACACAGAGAUAUCUGGAAAUGAGUUAUUAGUUACUUAAUGAGAUAUACUAGUAAGAAAAGGAUUCUUGCUAGCAUUUUUUGCUAAUAGUAAUAAAUGUUGGUUGAUCCAACAUAUUCAAUAGCUGAAUGAUAUUUAUAGAAUUGUGAGAG